Molecule: long non-coding RNA, 382 nt
Filed under: Rattus norvegicus (Norway rat)
Lineage: Eukaryota; Metazoa; Chordata; Mammalia; Rodentia; Muridae
Description: long non-coding RNA NONRATT004051
Source: RNAcentral
CUCCAAGCUAAUGCCGGCAAAAUCUCACAGGGCAGGGUGGAAGUAAUGGGUUCGGAACCCCAUUUUCACAUUAGCAAGCAUCACCAAAGCACCAGGUGGAGCUGUGUAGGAGGAGCUGAAGAAGGGGGUUUAAGAGCGGCCCAAGUGUGGGAAUUGUGAAAGAUGAUGGCGGAAGCAGUCCCAGAUGCCCCGGAACAAGAGCAUUCCGGAGCCGUGAAGCUAGAGGAGGAUGAGGUUGGCGAGGAGGAUCCCAGGCCGGCAGAGUCCAGGCCUAGGCCUGAGGUGGCCCACCAGCUUUUCAGAUGUUUCCAGUAUCAGGAAGAUAUGGGGCCACGGGCAUCUCUGGGUCGGCUCCGGGAACUCUGCAACCACUGGCUGAGAC